UCUAGUAACGAUGGCGAAGAGGUCACACCCGUUCCCAUACCGAACACGGAAGUUAAGCUCUUCAGCGCCGAUGGUAGUUGGGGGUUUCCCCCUGUGAGAGUAGGACGUUGCUAGGC
This is a non-coding RNA of Sporosarcina sp. P33, 116 nucleotides long. Lineage: Bacteria; Bacillati; Bacillota; Bacilli; Caryophanales; Caryophanaceae. The record is from Rfam.